RNAcentral lists this long non-coding RNA (458 nucleotides) under Populus trichocarpa (black cottonwood). RNAcentral's name for it is "long non-coding RNA (PTRI_LNC001471)". Lineage: Eukaryota; Viridiplantae; Streptophyta; Magnoliopsida; Malpighiales; Salicaceae. The record is from RNAcentral.
GGAUCAUCCACUCUCCCUUUGUCUCUCUAGUUGCUGCUGCUGUUGUGAAGAAGAAGAAAAUGAGCUCUUUUUUUGUGAAUAUGGCAGCUCAGGUGAGCUCUCUGGUUAAGUGAAUACACGGAUGAUAGGAACGUUGUGAGCGAACCUGGAGGGGCAAUAUCUUCUUAGAUAUUUUAAGAAAAUGAUUUUGUUAUAAGAAGCAGAGUUUUUGAUUCUCAAAAAGAGAUUUUAUAUGUUUUUCAUGCCUGUUUAAAAUUAUGAUUUUUUCUUCUUUUCGUUUUCUUUGAAUUGAAAUUUAAGGGCUUUAUAAUUUCUUUCUCUUGGUGCGAAGAUAUCUUUUUAUUAAAUGAUUGGUACUUAAAUGUUUCCUGAUUUACUUUGAAAUCCUCUGCUCUGUUUGAAAUCCUCAGUUUGGUUUCUGAGAAAAUGUAGAAAUAAAAAAUGAGAGACAAAAACUA